CUACGGGACGCUCCAGUAAGGAAUAUUGCGCAAUGGAGGCAACUCUGACGCAGCCAUGCCGCGUGCAGGAAGAAGGCCUUAUGGGUCGUAAACUGCUUUUAUUUAGGAAUAAACCCCCGAACGUGUUCGGGGCUGAAGGUACUAAACGAAUAAGCACCGGCUAACUCCGUGCCAGCAGCCGCGGUAAUACGGAGGGUGCAAGCGUUAUCCGGAUGUAUUGGGUUUAAAGGGUGCGCAGGCGGGCUAUUAAGUCAGUGGUGAAAUCCCGGGGCUCAACUCCGGAACUGCCAUUGAUACUGAUAGUCUUGAGUUUGGUUGAAGUGGGCGGAAUGUAGCAUGUAGCGGUGAAAUGCAUAGAUAUGCUACAGGACACCAAUCGCGAAGGCAGCUCACUAAGCCAAAACUGACGCUCAUGCACGAAAGCGUGGGGAUCAAACAGGAUUAGAUACCCGGGUAGUC
RNAcentral lists this ribosomal RNA (459 nucleotides) under uncultured bacterium. RNAcentral's name for it is "partial 16S ribosomal RNA". It matches the Rfam family "Bacterial small subunit ribosomal RNA", at positions 339 to 795 of the family's 1533-position model. The record is from RNAcentral.